This is a non-coding RNA of Pelobates cultripes (western spadefoot toad), 216 nucleotides long. The record is from the annotation of a GenBank genome assembly. NCBI's taxonomy places the organism in Eukaryota, Metazoa, Chordata, Amphibia, Anura, Pelobatidae.
CCCCAUUUAAUGCACAACACAUAUCUCACUUCUCUCAAUAAGAACAACAUUUCCUAAUUUUUUUAGGAAAAAUAAUUGUCCUGUCCUGAUCUUGCUAUUGAAUCUGGUGUCAUAGUGCUGGUGCGUCCGCUUACAAGAUCCUAUCACAACAUUAAAGGAUGUUUGGACCACUAAAUGUUACUACAUCUUUUUGAUAGGUGAUGGGGUGUCCAAAAG